Unclassified non-coding RNA from Pongo abelii (Sumatran orangutan), 148 nucleotides. It matches the Rfam family "Metazoan signal recognition particle RNA". From Rfam's summary of the family: The signal recognition particle (SRP) is a universally conserved ribonucleoprotein. It is involved in the co-translational targeting of proteins to membranes. The record is from Ensembl. Lineage: Eukaryota; Metazoa; Chordata; Mammalia; Primates; Hominidae.
GCCAGGCAUGGUGGCGCAUGCCUGUGGUCCCAGCUACUUAGGAGGCUGAGGUAGGAGGAUCACUUGAGCCUGGGAAGUUGAGGCUGCAGUGAGCUAUGAUCAUGCCACUGCACUUCAGCCCAGGUGACAGAGAGAGACCCUGUCUCAA